Molecule: unclassified non-coding RNA, 255 nt
Filed under: Hevea brasiliensis (rubber tree)
Lineage: Eukaryota; Viridiplantae; Streptophyta; Magnoliopsida; Malpighiales; Euphorbiaceae
Source: RNAcentral
UGCAGUUGGCCGUCUUACCCUCUUGAAUGAGACCUACUACCGGGAUAUCCUCUGUGAGAUGGGUGGCAUGUUUUCAAUUGCAAACCAUUUAGAUAAUAUUCAUAGACGACCCUGGAUUGGAUUCCAGUCAUGGCGAGCUACUGGAAGAAAAGUUUCCUUAUCUAAAAAUGCUGAGCUGGCCCUAGAAGAAACAAUACAGGCAAAGGUUAAAGGUGAUGUAAUAUACUAUUGGGCACAUUUGCAUGUGGAUGGUGG